AUUGAACGCUGGCGGAAUGCUUUACACAUGCAAGUCGAACGGCAGCACGGACUUCGGUCUGGUGGCGAGUGGCGAACGGGUGAGUAAUGUAUCGGAACGUGCCCAGUCGUGGGGGAUAACGUAGUGAAAUUUACGCUAAUACCGCAUACGAUCUAUGGAUGAAAGCGGGGGAUCGCAAGACCUCGCGCGAUUGGAGCGGCCGAUAUCAGAUUAGGUAGUUGGUGGGGUAAAGGCCCACCAAGCCAACGAUCUGUAGCUGGUCUGAGAGGAAGACCAGCCAGACUGUGACUGGGACCCGGUCCAGACUCCUACGGGAGGCAGCAGUGGGGAAUUUUGGACAAUGGGCGAAAGCCUGUUCCAGCCAUUCCGCGUGCAGGAUGAAGGCCCUCGGGUUGUAAACUGCUUUUGUACAGAACGAAAAGGUUUCUACUAAUACUAGGAGCUCAUGACGGUACUGUAAGAAUAAGCACCGGCUAACUACGUGCCAGCCGCCGCGGUAA
This 500-nucleotide ribosomal RNA is filed under the name uncultured bacterium. RNAcentral's name for it is "partial 16S ribosomal RNA". It matches the Rfam family "Bacterial small subunit ribosomal RNA", at positions 30 to 523 of the family's 1533-position model. The record is from RNAcentral.